CCCUUAGACGUUCUGGGCCGCACGCGCGCUACACUGACCAGUGAAACAAGCAUCCGUCCUUGGCCGACAGGCCCGGGCAAUCUUUGAACGCUGGUCGUGAUGGGGAUAGACUUUUGCAAUUUUUGGUCUUCAACGAGGAAUUCCUAGUAAACGCAAGUCAUCAACUUGCAUUGAUUACGUCCCUGCCCUUUGUACACACCGCCCGUCGCACCUACCGAUUGAAUGGUCCGGUGAAGCCUCCGGAUUGGCGCGCACCUCGGUGCCGCCGAGAAGUUGGCUAAACCUUACCAUUUAGAGGAAGGUGAAGUCGUAACA
This 315-nucleotide ribosomal RNA is filed under the name uncultured eukaryote. RNAcentral describes it as "partial 18S ribosomal RNA". It matches the Rfam family "Eukaryotic small subunit ribosomal RNA", at positions 1470 to 1796 of the family's 1831-position model. The record is from RNAcentral.